GACGAACGCUGGCGGCGUGCUUAACACAUGCAAGUCGAACGGAGCGAAUGAAAGCUUGCUUUUAUGAGCUUAGUGGCAAACGGGUGAGUAACACGUAGACAACCUGCCGACAGGAUGGGGACAACAUUCCGAAAGGAAUGCUAAUACCGAAUGAAGUCAGAGAAGGGCAUCCUUUUCUGAUGAAAGAUGGCCUCUGAAUAUGCUAUCACCUGUCGAUGGGUCUGCGUCUGAUUAGCUGGUUGGUGAGGUAACGGCUCACCAAGGCGACGAUCAGUAGCCGGUCUGAGAGGAUGAACGGCCACAUUGGGACUGAGACACGGCCCAGACUCCUACGGGAGGCAGCAGUGGGGAAUCUUCCGCAAUGGGCGCAAGCCUGACGGAGCAACGCCGCGUGAGUGAAGAAGGUCUUCGGAUCGUAAAGCUCUGUUGAUGGGGACGAAUGUA
This 444-nucleotide ribosomal RNA is filed under the name Selenomonas sp. oral taxon 479. RNAcentral describes it as "bacterial SSU rRNA". It matches the Rfam family "Bacterial small subunit ribosomal RNA", at positions 28 to 453 of the family's 1533-position model. Lineage: Bacteria; Bacillati; Bacillota; Negativicutes; Selenomonadales; Selenomonadaceae. The record is from RNAcentral.